ACAGGCCUCUCUUGUUGGUGAGCAGAUCAUCAAAUCAUCAACAUAUUGCAAGAGAGCACUCCCCCCUGGUCACCCCUAGGCUGCAGCAGCUGCCUCUGUCUGCUCAUCGCUCCUCGCCUACGUUUCCCCGUCCUCCCAUGAUGGUGGCACUGAACGCCAGCCAAGCCAGCUCGGCCCUCCAGGGACGUAUUGUCAGUGAUGGCUUUGUCCACUAAGACGAGAGUUGCAGCCACUAUGCUUGCCACUGCAAAAACACCAUGUGAG
This is a long non-coding RNA of Siniperca chuatsi (mandarin fish), 264 nucleotides long. RefSeq lists it as uncharacterized. The record is from RefSeq and is a predicted model, not a curated record. Lineage: Eukaryota; Metazoa; Chordata; Actinopteri; Centrarchiformes; Sinipercidae. The transcript has 3 exons.